This 253-nucleotide ribosomal RNA is filed under the name uncultured bacterium. RNAcentral describes it as "partial 16S ribosomal RNA". It matches the Rfam family "Bacterial small subunit ribosomal RNA", at positions 524 to 776 of the family's 1533-position model. The record is from RNAcentral.
GACGUAGGGCGCGAGCGUUGUCCGGAUUUAUUGGGCGUAAAGAGCUCGUAGGCGGCUUGUUGCGUCGACCGUGAAAACCCGGGGCUCAACUUCGGGCUUGCGGUCGAUACGGGCGGGCUAGAGUUCGGUAGGGGAGACUGGAAUUCCUGGUGUAGCGGUGAAAUGCGCAGAUAUCAGGAGGAACACCGGUGGCGAAGGCGGGUCGCUGGGGACAUGCUGACGCUGAGACACGAAAGCCAGGGGAGCAAACGGG